GAUGAACGCUUGCGGCGGGCCUAAUACAUGCAAGUCGGGCGGACAUACGGAGAUCGUUUUCCUCGGACGUUACCGACGGACGGGUAACUAGCACGUAGAUAACCUAUCUCUAAGGCUUAGAUAACUUCGGGAAACAGGAGGCAAGACCAAAUUAUAUGUUUAGCCGUGUGUAUUAAUCAUAUAAUUAUGUGUUACUGUCAGGUAUAGAUUAAUCCGCGCCGCAGUAGCUAUUUGGUAAGGUAACGGCUUAGCAAGGCAACGAUGCGUAGCCGACCUGAGAGGGUGAUCGGCCACACUGGAACUGAGACACGGUCCAGACUCCUACGGGAGGCAGCAGUAGGGAAUCUUCCGCAAUGGGCGAAAGCCUGACGGAGCAACGCCGCGUGAGUGAUGAAGGUCUUCGGAUCGUAAAACUCUGUUAUUAGGGAAGAACAAAUGUGUAAGUAACUAUGCACGUCUUGACGGUACCUAAUCAGAAAGCCACGGCUAACUACGUG
RNAcentral lists this ribosomal RNA (497 nucleotides) under uncultured bacterium. Its description in RNAcentral is "partial 16S ribosomal RNA". It matches the Rfam family "Bacterial small subunit ribosomal RNA", at positions 28 to 507 of the family's 1533-position model. The record is from RNAcentral.